Molecule: transfer RNA, 66 nt
Filed under: Nipponacmea nigrans
Lineage: Eukaryota; Metazoa; Mollusca; Gastropoda; Lottiidae
Description: tRNA-Trp
Source: RNAcentral
AAGGGCUUAAGUUAAAAAAACUGAGGGUCUCCAAAACCCCUAUUAAGCCUAUAGGCUUAGCCCUUG